AGAGUUUGAUCCUGGCUCAGGAUGAACGCUGGCGGCGUGCUUAACACAUGCAAGUCGAACGAAGCGCUUGAACAGGUUUCUUCGGAUUGAAGUUUUUGCGACUGAGUGGCGGACGGGUGAGUAACGCGUGGGUAACCUGCCUCAUACAGGGGGAUAACAGUUAGAAAUGACUGCUAAUACCGCAUAAGCGCACGGUGCUGCAUGGCACAGUGUGAAAAACUCCGGUGGUAUGAGAUGGACCCGCGUCUGAUUAGCUAGUUGGUGGGGUAACGGCCUACCAAGGCGACGAUCAGUAGCCGGCCUGAGAGGGUGAACGGCCACAUUGGGACUGAGACACGGCCCAAACUCCUACGGGAGGCAGCAGUGGGGAAUAUUGCACAAUGGGGGAAACCCUGAUGCAGCGACGCCGCGUGAGCGAAGAAGUAUUUCGGUAUGUAAAGCUCUAUCAGCAGGGAAGGAAUAGGACGGUACCUGACUAAGAAGCACCGGCUAAAUACGUGCCAGCAGCCGCGGU
RNAcentral lists this ribosomal RNA (514 nucleotides) under uncultured bacterium. RNAcentral's name for it is "bacterial SSU rRNA". It matches the Rfam family "Bacterial small subunit ribosomal RNA", at positions 8 to 521 of the family's 1533-position model. The record is from RNAcentral.